AGGGAAAAGAGUGAGGGGUGAAUUGAGGGAGUAUUGGAUUAACGACGGGCUGUACGGUUCGAUGAACUGUGUACUAUACGACCAUGCGACGGUGAAUGCAACGCCGUUAGCUGUUCUGUCGAAUCGUAGUAACGUCACCUGCGGCAGGUCGAAAACGUUUCCGACGACUGUGUUUGGGCCCACUUGUGAUGCUCUUGAUACUGUUUUAAGGGAUUACCAGUUACCGGAGCUGCAGGUUAAUGAUUGGCUGGUUUUUCCUAAUAUGGGUGCUUAUACUAAAGCUGCUGGGUCCAAUUUUAAUGGAUUUAAUACUUCCGCCAUUGUUACUCACCUCGCUUGGCAACGACAAUUAUAGGGAAACGAGUGAGGGGUGAAUUGAGGGAGUAUUGGAUCAACGACGGGCUGUACGGUUCGAUGAACUGUGUACUUUACGACCAUGCGACAGUGAACGCAACGCCGUUAGCUGUUCUGUCGAAUCGUAGUAACGUCACCUGCGGCGGGUCGAAAACGUUUCCCACAACUGUGUUUGGGCCCACUUGUGAUGCUCUUGAUACUGUUUUAAGGGAUUACCAGUUACCGGAGCUGCAGGUUAAUGAUUGGCUGGUUUUUCCUAACAUGGGCGCUUAUACUAAAGCAGCUGGGUCCAAUUUUAAUGGAUUUAAUACUUCCGCCAUUGUUACUCACCUCGCUUAUGCUUAUCCAAGCUGAUGAACCACCUGAUUAGGAAUUACUACCGUGGUUUUGAUGGGUUUUUCCUUUUUUGGGUAUCUUUUUCUUAAUUUUGUUUGUAGUAAUUUAUAUUCCAAAUCAGUUUGUAAUUCUCUUGUAUGCCAUAAGAAUGCAAGGAUUUGCUAAAUGUGAUUUGCUCUAAUAUGGAAGUUUUUAAUAUUAGUUAUUAGAUAAAUCUGUUUGGAUGCACGCUUUUUAUUUAUAGUUUUGUACAUUUACAAAAAAAUUGUUCAUGCUUC
RNAcentral lists this long non-coding RNA (968 nucleotides) under Nicotiana benthamiana. RNAcentral describes it as "long non-coding RNA (NBEN_LNC010061)". Lineage: Eukaryota; Viridiplantae; Streptophyta; Magnoliopsida; Solanales; Solanaceae. The record is from RNAcentral.